Hyla sarda is the source of this 261-nucleotide non-coding RNA. NCBI's taxonomy places the organism in Eukaryota, Metazoa, Chordata, Amphibia, Anura, Hylidae. The record is from RefSeq and is a predicted model, not a curated record.
UCUGCAGUUUCCUCUCAGGCCUCGUGUUGUUCGUACUCGAGGUUUCUGGAGCUGCACAGACUAUAUCCGGGAGGAAGCCGAGACCCCGCUGCCGGAGUGACUGCAGGCGGACGUGCUAUGUUCCUCGCAUAUUCUGCUUCUGUUGCCACGGAGAUAAUGGCGUCACCGUGUUAUUAUCUAUCCGCCAACAGAUAGAGAGAUGCAGUGUGAUAUUAUUUACAGAGCGAAGACUCUCUGCUAAAUACUGAACCUGCAACAUAG